This 468-nucleotide ribosomal RNA is filed under the name uncultured bacterium. RNAcentral's name for it is "partial 16S ribosomal RNA". It matches the Rfam family "Bacterial small subunit ribosomal RNA", at positions 28 to 507 of the family's 1533-position model. The record is from RNAcentral.
GACGAACGCUGGCGGCGUGCUUAACACAUGCAAGUCGAACGGAAAGGCCCUGCUUUUGUGGGGUGCUCGAGUGGCGAACGGGUGAGUAACACGUGAGUAACCUGCCCUUGACUUUGGGAUAACUUCAGGAAACUGGGGCUAAUACCGGAUAGGAGCUCCUGCUGCAUGGUGGGGGUUGGAAAGUUUCGGCGGUUGGGGAUGGACUCGCGGCUUAUCAGCUUGUUGGUGGGGUAGUGGCUUACCAAGGCUUUGACGGGUAGCCGGCCUGAGAGGGUGACCGGCCACAUUGGGACUGAGAUAAGGCACUGACUCAUACGGGAGCCAGGAGGGGGGAGGGUUGCACAAUGGGCGGGAGGAUGAUGCAGCAACGCCGCGUGAGGGAAGGCGGCCUGCGGGUUGUGAAACGCAUUCGCCUGUGACGAAGCGGGAGUGAGGGUAAUGGGUAAAGAAGAACCGGCUAACUACGUG